ACGCUCCGGAUGCCUUACCCCUCGCAUCUAAAUGUUGGUCUGAACGGCUCAAUAAGGAGAAGAAGUAGAACCGAAGUGGACUUGGACUCUUUGGCAGCAGACAAGUUCAGUUUAAACCUAU
Molecule: small nucleolar RNA, 121 nt
Filed under: Echinops telfairi (small Madagascar hedgehog)
Lineage: Eukaryota; Metazoa; Chordata; Mammalia; Afrosoricida; Tenrecidae
Description: Small nucleolar RNA SNORA61 (ENSETEG00000025091.1)
Source: RNAcentral